Molecule: long non-coding RNA, 199 nt
Filed under: Elaeis guineensis (African oil palm)
Lineage: Eukaryota; Viridiplantae; Streptophyta; Magnoliopsida; Arecales; Arecaceae
Description: long non-coding RNA (EGUI_LNC009014)
Source: RNAcentral
CACCUAUCAUGGUCAUGAAUUUUAGGACUCAGUCUUAUGAACUGUAUAGGACCUCUCCCUGCCUAUUAGGAUUAACAGAUUUCAUCUUGGUGCACACUAUUUCUACAGUGGACCUACUAUAGCCAACAUAUAUCGUAAGGUUUCGAAUCGCUACGUAACCAAGUGAUUGUGCAAUUAAACUAUAGCAAUCCCAUUGUGA